GAUUUAUCUAAUAAUUCUUGUACGUUAUCUGACAAAAUAUUUUCUCUAAACUGUUCUAAUUUAUCGUUAUCCCAAAUCAACUUAAACGACUUAUUCCUACAUUUGGAAUUAUGUAACUUUACAUG
Molecule: long non-coding RNA, 125 nt
Organism: Haliotis rubra (blacklip abalone)
Lineage: Eukaryota; Metazoa; Mollusca; Gastropoda; Lepetellida; Haliotidae
Exons: 3
Source: RefSeq, a predicted model, not a curated record